This 474-nucleotide ribosomal RNA is filed under the name uncultured bacterium. RNAcentral describes it as "partial 16S ribosomal RNA". It matches the Rfam family "Bacterial small subunit ribosomal RNA", at positions 28 to 507 of the family's 1533-position model. The record is from RNAcentral.
GAUGAACGCUAGCGGCAGGCCUAACACAUGCAAGUCGAGGGAGGAGCUUUCGGGCUUCGACCGGCGUACGGGUGCGUAACGCGUAUACAAUCUGCCUUUCACAUAGGGAUAGCCCGAAGGAAUUUGGAUUAAUACCUAAUGGUAUAUAGGAGUGGCAUCACAUUUAUAUUAAAGCUGAGGCGGUGAAAGAUGAGUAUGCGUUCUAUUAGCUAGUUGGAGAGGUAACGGCUCCCCAAGGCGACGAUAGAUAGGGGUUCUGAGAGGGAUAUCCCCCACACUGGUACUGAGAUACGGACCAGACUCCUACGGGAGGCAGCAGUGAGGAAUAUUGGACAAUGGUCGGAAGACUGAUCCAGCCAUGCCGCGUGCAGGAAGACGGCCUUAUGGGUUGUAAACUGCUUUUGCAGGGGAAGAAUAAGGACUACGAGUAGUUUGAUGACGGUACUCUGCGAAUAAGCAUCGGCUAACUCCGUG